CUUCUGUAAGAUUUAGCUCAGACGCAUGCGGAUCAACUCCCUGAGUUUGUCACUGCUGGAAUGGGUCGAGCACAAUGAUUUAGGUCGGAGAAUUUUUUUAAAGAUUUGACUGAACUGAAACCAGUUGAACGUUUGUGGUACGACAAACGUGUCAUACCGAACGUAGAGGACCGCAUGAUAGAAAUGAGUCCGUCCGUCCGUCCGUACCUUCAGUGAUACAACUGCAUAUUGCCGAAACGAGCAAGGCCACAGCAAAGCCUCUUAAAUCGUUUAACGAUCGAAGCAAUGAACGCCUCAGCGGCCUUUAAUCUUAAGGACCGAAUAAAGGAGUCGUUGUAAUCCGGACAUGCCAUCACAAGAUUUCAGUUAUUCACAAAGAAUAGAUCCUGCCGAAGGUAUUACCUUUCUAUGUUGUGCUGUACUUCUAGCGUUAAUUACGAUUAGUCAGUA
Varroa destructor (honeybee mite) is the source of this 450-nucleotide long non-coding RNA. The record is from RefSeq and is a predicted model, not a curated record. NCBI's taxonomy places the organism in Eukaryota, Metazoa, Arthropoda, Arachnida, Mesostigmata, Varroidae.